RNAcentral lists this ribosomal RNA (740 nucleotides) under uncultured bacterium. RNAcentral's name for it is "bacterial SSU rRNA". It matches the Rfam family "Bacterial small subunit ribosomal RNA", at positions 8 to 796 of the family's 1533-position model. The record is from RNAcentral.
AGAGUUUGAUCCUGGCUCAGAACGAACGCUGGCGGCAGGCUUAACACAUGCAAGUCGGACGCACUCGCAAGAGUGAGUGGCGGACGGGUGAGUAACACGUGGGAACCUGCCCUGGGGUCUGGGAUAGCUGCGGGAAACUGCAGGUAACACCGGAUGCGCCCUAUGGGGGAAAGUUUACGCCCUGGGAUGGGCCCGCGUCGGAUUAGGUAGUUGGUGGGGUAACGGCCUACCAAGCCUUCGAUCCGUAACCGGUCUGAGAGGAUGAUCGGUCACACUGGGACUGAGACACGGCCCAGACUCCUACGGGAGGCAGCAGUGGGGAAUCUUGGACAAUGGGGGCAACCCUGAUCCAGCGACGCCGCGUGGGUGAUGAAGGCCUUCGGGUCGUAAAGCCCUUUUGCCGGGGAAGAUGAUGACGGUACCCGGAGAAGAAGCACCGGCUAACUCUGUGCCAGCAGCCGCGGUAAGACAGAGGGUGCUAGCGUUGUUCGGAAUUACUGGGCGUAAAGGGCGCGUAGGCGGCUCGUUUAGUCGGGUGUGAAAUCCCAAGGCUCAACCUUGGAACUGCAUUCGAUACUGGCGGGCUAGAGACCGGAAGAGGUGGGUGGAAUACCCAGUGUAGAGGUGAAAUUCGUAGAUAUUGGGUGGAACACCGGUGGCGAAGGCGGCUCACUGGUCCGGUUCUGACGCUGAGGCGCGAAAGCGUGGGGAGCAAACAGGAUUAGAUACCCUAGUAGUCC